Molecule: long non-coding RNA, 3324 nt
Organism: Neoarius graeffei (lesser salmon catfish)
Lineage: Eukaryota; Metazoa; Chordata; Actinopteri; Siluriformes; Ariidae
Exons: 4
Source: RefSeq, a predicted model, not a curated record
AACAAGCUGACUUUUUUUUUUGAAGGAAAAGAAAAUACACAAUAUCUGAAUAUUCGGACUGUUUGAGUUUGUGAAAAAUACGUAAAGUUAAAAAGUAAACGUUUUGAAAGACGUCAAAUCCGACUUCCGGGGAACGGACCGAAGAAGAAGAACGAGUUGUUUUGUUUUCGAUGACAGAAGCUAAAGCUGCUCACAGCAUUCUGUGACAAACAUUCGAUUAAUCCGGAUAAAGCUGGAACCGGAUCAGUUUUUCCGACAUGUGUGGUUUUUAUUAACAUUGUCAACGUGGUUAUUUAUUGCGUUUGGGAAGCUGAUUUGUUAGCUAAACAAGCUAAGUGCAAAGCUAAUACGCCUGGAUUAGCAUUAGCAUUGUUUGCUUAGCAGUGCUGCUCCAUGCCGAGUAUUGUUCUAGAAAUUUCCACUCGGUGUGUUUUUAACCACUUUUAACGCGUCUUUUAGCAACUUGGAGGUUUUUUUUUUUACAAUACUGACGUUUUUAUUUUCCAGAUUUAACGAAGAGAGAGUCAGGAUGGUGUGUGAGCUGCUGCUGUCCUCAGUCUGGCUGCUGUUUGUGGUUUUCUGGGUGGAGACCAUCAGCGUGUGGUUGUUCCUCUGCCUCUUCUAUCAGGACAGAGCUUUCUAUCACUGGGGUGACGGGGUGUUUGCUGAUGAUCCUGGUCAGAUGCUCUACAUGCUGAGCAGAUCAGAUCAUUCUGCUCAUACCUGAGCUCGCGGCCUUGUCGUCAGCUGGGAACGCCAAUCAACCAAAGAUCUGGGGAGGAAAAUGGCUUCCCGUCCGACUGCUGCCGCAUUUCAACAAUCUGUGCCAUGGCUCGCGAUGGAGAAUUAGCACGGAGCUCGUGGCUAAGCGCAGGUUCUGUGUUGGUUGUUAUAAAGGGAACUUGUAUUACGUUUCUCACUUUGUCUCCUCUGAAAGGAGCUUCUCUUCUCAAGAAAAAAAAAAAAAAGAACGGCAGCUCGGUGUAGGAAUGACACUAAAACGCACCCGGUCUGUCCGUCUGUUUGUUUUUAAAUCUGCGUGCCUGUGAUUGAAGCGAACACUUUCCACCUGCCUUCGGUUUUAACGUACUCACUUUGUUGUCUUGUUUAGGCGUCUGCUUCAUAUCACAAUGAUUUUGUUUUUACAGUUUGAGUUUAUCACUAGUUCAUUGGGGUGUGUUGCGGUUUGUCCAGUGGGCUGUAUGAGGUUUUCAGGAUACACACUCGAUGUUUUUCGUACAUUUUUUUUUUUUCAUCGCUGCUUACUAUGGCGUGCGGCCUUAACCUCGAAGCUAAUCAACAUUUAAACAAUACAGGAUGUAACAAUGUCGCUACAAAGAUCCAACAGGACUCCUUAAAGUCUGAUAAUGAAAAUACUGAACCUUAAUGACAUUUGUCCAUCUAAAGGGACAGAUACACGCAUUCUUGUGUGACCCUGUUGACCAGUGUUUGCACGAGUGAUAUAUAAUAUAUUCAAAUUUUAAAUACACACUUUUUUUUUUUUAAUGCUCAGAAUUUGAGAUCAGUUUUUUUCACAUGUAUAGACGAUGAAUCGUUUGCCAAAGAAGAGUCGGCUCUUUUGAUUCGGCUCCUUUAGGUAGAUAUCAAGAGUUCAUUCAUGUCAACUUUUUUUUUUUUUUAAACGUCUAGCUAUUCAGUCAGAUAAAUCUUACAGACAGCAGCACAAUAACGUAAAAUCAACAAUGCAGUGCAAGAGUCAGUUCACUUGCGUUUCUCCUUUAUGAUUUUACAAUAAUUGAAAUGGAUUUAAAGUCACGUUGUUUUGUUUUGUUCGUUUGAAAUAACUUGAGCUUUAUUUCGGCAAAGAUGAUCAAUCACUCGUCUCCAAAAUAUCUUGGCUUGGAAAAAGGCCAAGGAGUCGUUUAGGAGUCGACUCUUUUUUUUUUUUUUUUUUUUUUUUUUUUUAGCGAGUUGAAAUACUGAUUCAGUGAAAAGGGUGGGAAAUUCUCAUCACGAGCAGUUGCGCUGUGGAAGCUCCGCCCACCCUUGAGUCGUGCGGGGUGGAAGAUAACCGGUUGAAGGGGAAAGAGGCGGGGCUUAGUGUCUGAGGUAAAUCACUUGUGAUAGAGUAUUGAUUGUUUAAAAAUCAAACUGUUAGCUUUUAGCUUGUCGUGUAUAACUUGCUGCUGUUUUUUUUUUUUUUUUUUUUUUACUUUUUAAUUUAAGUGCUCAGCCAGAUUUAAAAAAAAAAAAAAAACUUUUCACAUGAAACUCGGAUACCAAAGCGAGUUUGUAAACUUCUUUUAUCAUGAUUUAAUAUUAAUUUGUCAUCAUUCAGCUCUGUUAUGUUUCUUAAAACCAAUUAAUUUGCCCCCGGAGUGUUUAAUGUGUGUUUUUUUGUUUUUUUUUUUCCAAUGGAAAGUUUCCCAAAAGUAUCGCAGCACAAUGAUUGUUACAAUGGUAAAGCGAGCAUCGCAUUUAACUUCCUCUCCUGUUUCUCACCUGUUACCCGACGUUCACAAAAACAAGUGACAAAACAUUCCUUUACACUGCUUAAGUAACACUCUUUCAACCAUAAAGUGACCUUUUAACGCAAGCUUUUCCUCAAUUUAUAUCCAAAUUUGAGUAUGAAGCUACAAAUCCCACUGAUCGGCUGGAAGGAUUCCUCAGCCCACUCCAUUUCAUCGGUUCCCUGCUCAUUAGAUUUAAUUUCCAUUUACUGUUUGACACACCAAGAAAACGUUUUUAAAACCAUGGUUUUGUCUAAUCCUGUCCUGUACAGUCAGUCGUUAAAGGUGUAUAGAGACGUUACGAAGAUGGCUCGGAAGGAGUGGAGAUCGCUGGUGUGGUUAGCUUUGCUCAUUUGCCAAUAAAGCAAACACGAGGAUGAAAGUCAACCAAUUUUCACACUGAAUUGUGUUGAGUUCAUGGUUAACGAGGUAGCUUUAAAAGCUACGUAUAUAGCUAGUAGCGUUUUUCAGUGUAACAAAUUCUGGCCAGGACACGCCCACAAGUGAUAACCGUAACAGUCACGAUACACCCACAAGAGACGAACUACAAUCGACUCAAGCGAGUGUGAACGUAGAGUUUAGAUGAUUUCCAAUUUUUAUAAAUUGUAAAAAAAAAAAAGGGGGGGUUAGUUACCUUCAAGACCUCUGACUUUUUGUUUAAGAACUGUACCUGUAAUUUCGAGAUGAAUGAACUCCUAAGUGUAAACCAUCCAUGUGAUUCUGGACUUUUUUCUUUGGAAAAUAAAUGCUGUAUUCCUUUCUUUUCUAAUGGUUUGACAGAAGGGUUGUUCCAUCCAUGAUGGGGAUUUCCUUUUGUGUUCCACAUAAUAAACCAACAUGCUGUACACGUGAA